GUUUUAAUAGUUUAUUAUAAAACAUUGGUCUUGUAAACCAAAAAUAAGUUAUGCUUUUAAAACUUCAAAGGAAAGAAAAUCUUAUCAUUAAUUUCCAAAA
RNAcentral lists this transfer RNA (100 nucleotides) under Titanodula formosana. RNAcentral's name for it is "tRNA-Thr". The stretch from base 1 to 64 matches the Rfam family "tRNA". From Rfam's summary of the family: Transfer RNA (tRNA) molecules are approximately 80 nucleotides in length. Lineage: Eukaryota; Metazoa; Arthropoda; Insecta; Mantodea; Mantidae. The record is from RNAcentral.